UUGCGUUGCUGGAACAUGUCCAGAGGAGAGCCACAAAGCUGAGGUAGCUGAAAAUCCCAUCUACUUUCAUAUUGACACCCUUUCCGCAAGAGUCUGUGAGUUCCUUGGCCCUGUGGCACGUUUGUUUCUGCAAUGCAUUCUGCAAAAGCACUGCAUCCUCAUGGUACUUGAAGAAUACAUAAGGAAGAAUGCAAGGAGAAGAGAUUCACAGGGAGUAACCAUGUUGGAAACAAUGAUUUGUGAACAAUCAGACCUUAGAGGAGAUGGUGGGUGCUACUGGGAAAAGCACCCAUCAGAUGAGAAACCUGAGGGGAAGGGAUGUCAUAAGUAACUUCAGAACGGAUUUGAGCUUCAUUCUGGAGCAGUGCAACUGAAAGCAAAACUCAAGAGCUUGUCAGGAGCUGUGAAUGUAAGUUUGUGCUACGAUGAAUCACAUGACAAGAGGCACAUUUUUGGCUUGGCACGUUUUUCACAUGACAUCGAAAAGAAAAAUCCACAUACAGCUUAAUGUGGCAAAAAUUUCAACAAGCUUUCUAUAUUUCAGUGAGGAAAUCUGUUCGUUUCAGGCAAUUAGUGAUGAGGAUGUAUACCCGAAAUCUUGCACCUCUUGAGUUUCCAGUGUUGUCACGUUUGCAUGAGAAGUUGCUACACCGACAGAGCAAAUUAAAAUCCUGAC
Long non-coding RNA from Egretta garzetta (little egret), 676 nucleotides. RefSeq lists it as uncharacterized. The record is from RefSeq and is a predicted model, not a curated record. NCBI's taxonomy places the organism in Eukaryota, Metazoa, Chordata, Aves, Pelecaniformes, Ardeidae. The transcript has 3 exons.